Molecule: ribosomal RNA, 484 nt
Filed under: uncultured bacterium
Lineage: Bacteria
Description: partial 16S ribosomal RNA
Rfam family: Bacterial small subunit ribosomal RNA
Source: RNAcentral
AUUGAACGCUGGCGGCAGGCCUAACACAUGCCAGUCGAGCGGAUGAAGGGAGCUUGCUCCUGGAUUCAGCGGCGGACGGGUGAGUAAUGCCUAGGAAUCUGCCUGGUAGUGGGGGAUAACGUCCGGAAACGGGCGCUAAUACCGCAUACGUCCUGAGGGAGAAAGUGGGGGAUCUUCGGACCUCACGCUAUCAGAUGAGCCUAGGUCGGAUUAGCUAGUUGGUGGGGUAAAGGCCUACCAAGGCGACGAUCCGUAACUGGUCUGAGAGGAUGAUCAGUCACACUGGAACUGAGACACGGUCCAGACUCCUACGGGAGGCAGCAGUGGGGAAUAUUGGACAAUGGGCGAAAGCCUGAUCCAGCCAUGCCGCGUGUGUGAAGAAGGUCUUCGGAUUGUAAAGCACUUUAAGUUGGGAGGAAGGACAGUAAGUUAAUACCUUGCUGUUUUGACGUUACCAACAGAAUAAGCACCGGCUAACUUCGUG